AGAGUUUGAUCCUGGCUACAGAGCGAACGCUGGCGGCAGGCUUAACACAUGCAAGUCGAACGGGCGUAGCAAUACGUCAGUGGCAGACGGGUGAGUAACACGUGGGAACGUACCUUUUGGUUCGGAACAACUGAGGGAAACUUCAGCUAAUACCGGAUAAGCCCUUACGGGGAAAGAUUUAUCGCCGAAAGAUCGGCCCGCGUCUGAUUAGCUAGUUGGUGGGGUAAGAGCCCACCAAGGCGACGAUCAGUAGCUGGUCUGAGAGGAUGAUCAGCCACAUUGGGACUGAGACACGGCCCAAACUCCUACGGGAGGCAGCAGUGGGGAAUAUUGGACAAUGGGCGAAAGCCUGAUCCAGCCAUGCCGCGUGAGUGAUGAAGGCCCUAGGGUUGUAAAGCUCUUUUAACGGGGAAGAUAAUGACGGUACCCGUAGAAUAAGCCCCGGCUAACUUCGUG
RNAcentral lists this ribosomal RNA (456 nucleotides) under uncultured bacterium. Its description in RNAcentral is "bacterial SSU rRNA". It matches the Rfam family "Bacterial small subunit ribosomal RNA", at positions 8 to 507 of the family's 1533-position model. The record is from RNAcentral.